UUUAUUGAGAGUUUGAUCCUGGCUCAGGACGAACGCUGGCGGCGUGCUUAACACAUGCAAGUCGAGCGAUGAAGCUCCUUCGGGAGUGGAUUAGCGGCGGACGGGUGAGUAACACGUGGGUAACCUGCCUCAUAGAGGGGAAUAGCCUUUCGAAAGGAAGAUUAAUACCGCAUAAGAUUGUAGUGCCGCAUGGCAUAGCAAUUAAAGGAGUAAUCCGCUAUGAGAUGGACCCGCGUC
RNAcentral lists this ribosomal RNA (237 nucleotides) under Clostridium beijerinckii. RNAcentral's name for it is "partial 16S ribosomal RNA". It matches the Rfam family "Bacterial small subunit ribosomal RNA", at positions 1 to 237 of the family's 1533-position model. The record is from RNAcentral. Lineage: Bacteria; Bacillati; Bacillota; Clostridia; Eubacteriales; Clostridiaceae.